RNAcentral lists this long non-coding RNA (230 nucleotides) under Elaeis guineensis (African oil palm). Its description in RNAcentral is "long non-coding RNA (EGUI_LNC005782)". Lineage: Eukaryota; Viridiplantae; Streptophyta; Magnoliopsida; Arecales; Arecaceae. The record is from RNAcentral.
CGGCUUGUAUCAAGUGUAGGUCUAUCAUCGAUAAUAUUUUUUGUGUUCAUCAGAUUCUUUAUCAUGCUAGACAUUCUCCUCGCAAAGGCAUUCUAUGUAAGUUUGAUAUCAGCAAUGCAUUCAACAAGCUUGAUCUUAACUAUUUGAUUAGGCUUCUUAAGCAUCAUGGCUUCCCAACCAUGUAGCUCUUAUGGAUGGAAAAUAUUCUCUUUUCUUCAAAGGUAGCGGCG